Prunus dulcis (almond) is the source of this 203-nucleotide long non-coding RNA. RefSeq lists it as uncharacterized. The record is from RefSeq and is a predicted model, not a curated record. NCBI's taxonomy places the organism in Eukaryota, Viridiplantae, Streptophyta, Magnoliopsida, Rosales, Rosaceae. The transcript is spliced from 3 exons.
GCGGGAAAAUCGUGUUUUCCGACUGAGGUUCGUUCGAAGCUACCCGAACUUCCAGCUUGAAAUUCUUCCUCGUUUCUCCACCAAAUCGAUCGAGUAAGGCAUCUGAGGUCCAGCCGAUCAGCAUGAGGAAACUUCAAAGGGUCAAAUUAGCUUGGACCAUCUGUCGUAGAAGUGCAUAGGAUCCACCACCGGGCCACUCUUAA